This is a long non-coding RNA of Tupaia belangeri chinensis (Chinese tree shrew), 4307 nucleotides long. RefSeq lists it as uncharacterized. The transcript has 5 exons. NCBI's taxonomy places the organism in Eukaryota, Metazoa, Chordata, Mammalia, Scandentia, Tupaiidae. The record is from RefSeq and is a predicted model, not a curated record.
AGCUGUUGGAGCAGACUCGGUUCCGAGGGUGUGGCCGUCGUGGGCAGAGGAGAGCUUUGGCUAAUUUUUCUCUGGAAGUGAUUUUAGUGCGCAAAAGUGCGAUCAGACUGCAUCAGUCCCACCUCCCGGUCCUGCCUGCCGAAGGGGCCUAUAUGGAAAGCACAGAGGCAGUGGCCACAGGGGAGCCCAGAGCUGCGGGCACCCUCGCAGGGCAGUGAGCGGUCCCAUGGGCUGUCACCCUCAGUCGGAGUGGGCCCCCGGCUGAAGCAAGGGCAAUGUUAGAACCCUAACCUGAGCCCGAAGAGCAGAGUGUGCUAACAUCUCCCAAGCUGGGAAGACUGCCGGCCACCCCUCAGGCAGACAUCUAUACGUGAUACUCUUUGUUCUUGGAAGCAAGGAGAUGAGUGGCAGGUUCAGACAGGAAGUAGAAAUACCUCUCUCUGUCCCUCUUGCUAAGCACCACACAGCUAACCCCAUGGACAUUGCGUGUAAAGCAGCUGGAGAAAGCUGAGAGGCGGAGGUGGAUGGGGACCAGCGAGGCUCCUGGGCACCGGAGGAACGCUUGGGAAUACGGCCCUGGGUUUCCUGUGGCCACGUAUACCCUGAAAUCGGCUCUGGAGAAGCUGACCUCCUGGGGGCGCCAGUAGGAGCAGGCAAAAAAAAAAAAAAGGAAGAAGAAAGAAGCCCAAGAAAACCCUCUUUUCUCUAACCAAAGUGCUAGGAAGGGGCAGCCUCAAUAAGCAAUUGAAGUUAUGCUUGAGAGAGAUGGAAGCACAGUUCCUAAAAUAGCAGAAGAUAGGAAAGUGAAAAUUUUAGAUUAAAAAUGCAACAAUAAUAAAAACCAGUGAAUGUGUGAAACAGGACGGAGGAGACAGAACAGGGUCCUGUGAAAUCGGAGGUGGACUGGUGGGCCUCCCCCACUGGGACACCGGGGGCCAGCCACAAGGAGGACAGAGCAGUGGACUGCAGCGGGAGAGGGCAGGGGUGUCGUUGGACUUCCGGAAAGAGGAGGGCCGGGCCGUUUGCACAUGUGCUCAAGGGAAGGUGCCUCGACAUUCCCCAGAGUUGGUGGAAGAACCUAUUGGAGCAGAUCCAAACAGAAUUAGCCCAAAGAAGCCUAUGUCAAGAUGGGGUGUGUGUGUCUGAGACAAACUGGACAUGGGAGACCGGCCGGGGAUCUUGGACGCAGGGAGGGGCGCACCUGCCUACAGGGAAGCAGCGAGGGUCACGGCCGAGUCCUCGCCCUCUCUGAGACCAGCAUGCUGUCAGCACCCUCUGUGCCCUAGACCUCGGGGAGGUCAGGGCCUUGUCACAGAGGAGAGGUGAAGAGCGCACCACCAGCAGAAAGAAGAGCUGGAGGGCUCCAGAGGCAGGCCAGUGGUGGGAGAGCUCAGACUGCAGGCAGAGCGUGGGUGCGGGUGCGGGCGCAGAGGACCCCCGGGUUCCCCCCUCCUCAGCGUCCUUAGUUGUGUUUGACAGCUCAAGUAAAGCUUGAACCCCGAGUGUCUCCAUGUCCCCGAGCGUAUACAGAUGCCCACGAGGGAGGCCAGGUGUGUAGCAGGCCAGCCCUGCUCCGUGUGAGCCAGCCUGUCGGCACCAGCAGGCUGCCAGUCACAGGAAGGACCCGCUCUCCGAGGCGGUUCACUGCCAGCGGCCCAUGUCUGGCGCCUUUCAGGCAGGGGCCUGAGAGCUUCCUUCUGAGGCCUGAGGUGUUGUCAGGGUAUCUCGUGUGGCCCUUUGGCUCCCAUGGCCUGAGUCUCUGUCCUGAACUCAGCACUUCCCUGAAUCGUCCUUGCGGGCAGCAGAGAGCAGUCUGAGAGUCUGCAGCCCAGACGCCUCCCCACAGCCCUCCUCCGUCCACUCCUGGGUUUGUGGGCCGGUUGCCCAAGGUCGUGGGCACUGGCUCUUUCCGCUGUCUAAGGCACUCCGAGGAGGAGAGGUGGGAGCCAGUGUGCUCAGUCGUCACCGUCAGAGACACCGAUGGAGUGAAAGCCACAGAGCCACCGGCACGGCAGGACGGGAAGCGACGGUUGGAAAACCUGAGGCCCACCUUGAACCACCAGCAAAGGACCACUUCCCCACACAUCGGGAAAACGCUGUCCCCAUUCUCUGCAGAACGUCUGAAGGAGGCGUCGAGGUUGAGCUGCAGCUGUUGUCCCGUAAGAAAGAAACGCCAGCCCCGGGCUGAAGGAACGGGGCGUAAUUGUGUUGUGGUGAGCCGGGGGAUGGCAGAGUCCACAGUGCAAAGCACGCUGGAUGUCACUUUCCAAUCAACCGGCGGGAUGCAGCGGGAGAGCAGAGGCGGAGGACGGCCCUCUCUCCCCUUCCCACUUGGCAAGCAGAAGCAGAAGCAAGAGACACCACAUCUCGUUCUGUAUUCUUUCCUCAACAUAAUUGUCAGGUUUGCGGAAUGGCUCAGAGUCAUCCGUAACCAGUCUAAAACAGAUCUCCCCUCGAGGCCAAAGACUGCAGUUGUGUCGAGUGGAGACGUGUAGUGUGUGAACGACACAGGGUGUCCGCACGAGGGCCAUCUCUCCGUCUCUGAGUACACAGCGCCCAGGCAGGUGGACUGUAUUCACACCCAGCCAGUGCUCACCACAUUCGUCAUUGUCACCAUGUCACCGUCAGAAAGACGCAGUGUGCAUCCACCGGGCCUAGCUUGCCGCCCGUUGCAGUCCCGGGAGGAGACUUCGCCAGUCAACUCCAGGAGAGGAGGUGCACGUAGCCGGUCUUACCAACAAACAUGAAACAUUGCAUGGAAAUAAAGAACCCCAUCUGGAGGAAAUAGAGCCUAAGAAUAGAAGAACACUUCCAAGUGUGUUUCCUGAGAUGGAAGAACUAAAAAACACUAACUCAGUAAAUGCUGAGGCUACAACAGAGACGUGAAAGGAAGUGUCAGAGCAACAGACCCCGUGUCCUGACAAAGCAAAGGGGCCGGAAGACGGCUGGGAAAGAGGAAGUCCUGGUGCCGCCUCCACCCGGCACAGCCACGCCGGCCUGGCCCUCUGUGCACACGGAUACCCGUGCCCUCGUACACGCUACAUGCUCUGCUUCCUCCUUGCCAUGGCCUGCAGCGAGCGGAGAGAACCUUAACGGGUAUCUGGAUGCCACAGUGGCCACCGUAGCCUUCUGACAGCCGGGAUCGCACUGGGGUGUUUCAGCUGACCCGGGAUCAGAACCCUGACCGGCCCUGUUGCUCCAGCGUCGCAGAACAGCCACUACCGCCACCUACAGUCCACGUUUUGCAGAAGGUGCUUCUUGCUCUGGGUGCCCAUGAAAAACCCACAGAAUGGCACUGUGUACGGACCUCACUGUGUCCUGCCGGGCGCCCCGUGAGCUCUGUCUGAGAAGUCCAUGUGUAGUCUGGGGGCCUCCGGUCACCGGUUCCAACUCUGCACGUCCUCCUGGUGCACUGCUGGGGCCUCACUGCCAGCGGGACAGAUGACGGGACACAGGAGGGAGUGAGGCGUGGGGGGGUGCGCACCGACCUCCGUGGAGCUCAGCUGUCUGCCUUCCCCGUGCCGGGCAGGAGCCGACAGCCGGUCCUGCCAGUGCCCCUCACUGCUGGCCACCAGCAUGCACAGUGGGGUCACAGUCACCGCUGGCAGGGUGACGACUGGAGCCUGUGACUGCACGCGUCGGCCUCUUGGGAUUCCGUUCCGCGGACUCCCUACUCAUGCCCUUGGGCCCGUUGCUCCCCAUUCGGAUAGCUGUCCCAUCGUCCAUUUCCAAGAGGGCCUCGUCUCUCCCUGAACGGCCCCCGGCCUGGUCCUUGCAUCUGCCAUCUCUUCUUCGGCUCUGCUUGUUUGUAGUUUCGUUCUCUCAUCGGAGAAGCUGAUCACUCUACUGCAGCCAUAUCUGCUUCAAAAACACUGAGCUCAAUUUUACUCGUGCCCCUGAAUUAGUUUGCUGGGCGCGCCUAAAUGAGGCCGCUCACUCUGCUCUCUGGCUAUCCCUGACUAAGCCCUUUGUUUUCAAGUUCCGAGCCUUUUGGGGUACUGAGCGGUAAUACCUGCAGGCAGGCAGACCAGGGGCCCAUGUUUAACAGCUAGGAACUGAGGGUGCCACUGAGACCUGGACUUCAGAGAGAAGGUGGUGACCGUCAGUGUGAGUCCAGGGACACUUGGGGGACAGCGGUGGGUAGUGGAGUCCAGCUGGCCUUCUGGGGCCUGGGCCAGCCCUGGGUGGGGUGGGGCACACUAACGGUGCCCAGUGGUGCCCCAGCAGUGUGGGGUCCUUAAAAAGAAAUACAGCUUGGGGCCAGCAGGUGGCAUGGUUGUUAAGGCCCUAGGCUCUCACGUGGCCGA